This 305-nucleotide long non-coding RNA is filed under the name Helianthus annuus (common sunflower). RNAcentral's name for it is "sRNA HanXRQr2_Chr13g0604921". Lineage: Eukaryota; Viridiplantae; Streptophyta; Magnoliopsida; Asterales; Asteraceae. The record is from RNAcentral.
UCGCAGGAGAGCCAGGGGGUUCCAUGCCCAAACCCUAGCCAGCAAAAAUCAAGCAAUUGAGAAGCCAAAUCGACUCCAAAUUGAAAUCUAAGCUUGGAUUAGUGAUCACUUCAGUGAAAGGAUCAUAAGUUUGUCGCCUAACGAGCUAGGUGGAGGCUUGGGAUAGAAGCGGUCAAACGAAUCAAGCACGAGAAGAAAAGCAUAUUCGGAUGCGAGGUACACUUUGGGAUGCCGGAAGACGAUCAAGCUCAACGAAGAACCGAACACACUAUAGAUACACGCUUCCGCACUUUGCUAUGUUGUAA